GACGAACCGUGCGAACGUUGUUCGGAAUCACUGGGCUUAAAGGGCGCGUAGGCGGACCAUCUGGUCCGCGGUGAAAGCUUCCGGCUCAACCGGAAACCCGCCGCGGAUACCGGUGGCCUGGAGGCGGGCAGGGGCGCGUGGAACUCCCGGAGGAGCGGUGAAAUGUGUUGAGAACGGGAGGAACGCCGGCGGCGAAAGCGGCGCGCUGGGCCCGUCCUGACGCUGAGGCGCGAAAGCCAGGGGAGCGAACGGG
RNAcentral lists this ribosomal RNA (253 nucleotides) under uncultured bacterium. RNAcentral's name for it is "partial 16S ribosomal RNA". It matches the Rfam family "Bacterial small subunit ribosomal RNA", at positions 524 to 776 of the family's 1533-position model. The record is from RNAcentral.